AACGCGAAGAACCUUACCCACCUUUGACAUGUACGGAAGUCGCUAGAGAUAGCUUCGUGCUCGAAAGAGAGCCGUAACACAGGUGCUGCAUGGCUGUCGUCAGCUCGUGUCGUGAGAUGUUGGGUUAAGUCCCGCAACGAGCGCAACCCUUGUCAUUAGUUGCUACAUUCAGUUGGGCACUCUAAUGAGACUGCCGGUGACAAACCGGAGGAAGGUGGGGAUGACGUCAAGUCCUCAUGGCCCUUAUAGGUGGGGCUACACACGUCAUACAAUGGCUGGUACAAAGGGUUGCCAACCCGCGAGGGGGAGCUAAUCCCAUAAAACCAGUCGUAGUCCGGAUCGCAGUCUGCAACUCGACUGCGUGAAGUCGGAAUCGCUAGUAAUCGUGGAUCAGAAUGUCACGGUGAAUACGUUCCCGGGUCUUGUACACACCG
RNAcentral lists this ribosomal RNA (434 nucleotides) under uncultured bacterium. Its description in RNAcentral is "bacterial SSU rRNA". It matches the Rfam family "Bacterial small subunit ribosomal RNA", at positions 958 to 1392 of the family's 1533-position model. The record is from RNAcentral.